Molecule: long non-coding RNA, 660 nt
Organism: Dama dama (fallow deer)
Lineage: Eukaryota; Metazoa; Chordata; Mammalia; Artiodactyla; Cervidae
Exons: 3
Source: RefSeq, a predicted model, not a curated record
GAUCAAACCCACACCUCCUGCAAUGGAAGCACGGAGUUUUAACCACUGCAGGACCACCAGGCCUGAUUUCCACCCCAAGUUCACCAUGUGGCCUGAAAGAUUUCCUAUGUGGCAGAUGAGGAAACUGAAGUACAGAGAGGUCAAAUAAUUUGAGACACUACACUACACUGCUGGUUUUGAAGAAGGAAGGGGCCAGGAACCAAGGAAGAGAUGGCCUCUAGGAACAGAGACAAGCAGAUUUUGCCAUCAGAGCCUCCAGAAGGAACCAGCCCUCACACUGUAUUUUGGAAUUCUGACCUCCAGAACGAAAACAAAUGUGUUGUUUUAAGCCACUCAAGUUCGUGCCUAAAGCACCCACAAGAAAGAUAAGGAAUAUUAAAAUACAUGGACAUUUUGCAGAAAUGGUUUAAUGCUCAAUGCAGGGUCAUCAAUUUCUGAUCAAAACAAGUUUCUGUAUCACUUACAAACCCACUGUUCAGAGCAAACAGGUCUACAAAAAGGUUAACAAACAGUUUAGUAUAAAUUUUUCCUUUUCUCUGUAUAAACUUUUGAAAUUAGUAAUGUGACUGUCACAGCAAUCCUCACAAUACCUAUAAUUUAAGAUGGCAGUUUCAACAGCCUAGAAACUAAGUAUCAAAAUUUCACUCUGAUGAAAAGUUC